ACCUGGGGUAGAGGUGCUUUAAUAAAUAGUAAGUGUAAGGAGUCGGCAGGCGAGGAUUUAUGCUAAAAGGUAUUAUAGCCGAAGAAAUAAAUUUUUAUGUAAGGAUUUAUUUCUGGAUAUUCAUAGAAUAUGUGAAUAGCUGUCACGAAAAGUGUUGAGCUACAAGGUAC
RNAcentral lists this non-coding RNA (170 nucleotides) under Clostridium puniceum. RNAcentral's name for it is "Lysine sequence". It matches the Rfam family "Lysine riboswitch aptamer". Rfam says of the family: Riboswitches are metabolite binding domains within certain messenger RNAs that serve as precision sensors for their corresponding targets. Allosteric rearrangement of mRNA structure is mediated by ligand binding, and this results in modulation of gene expression. This family includes riboswitches that sense lysine in a number of genes involved in lysine metabolism, including lysC. Lineage: Bacteria; Bacillati; Bacillota; Clostridia; Eubacteriales; Clostridiaceae. The record is from Rfam by way of RNAcentral.